This is a ribosomal RNA of Anser brachyrhynchus (Pink-footed goose), 114 nucleotides long. The record is from Ensembl. Lineage: Eukaryota; Metazoa; Chordata; Aves; Anseriformes; Anatidae.
CGCAGCCAAUGCUACGCUGCUGGCCAAGAACAUGUCAGAUUUCACUAGCUAAGCAAUGCGGGGUAUGGUCAGUACUUGGUUGGGAGACCUCCAAGGAAAACUCAGGUGCUGUAG